UUCGGGGGUACACGAGUGGCGAACGGGUGAGUAACACGUGGGUAAUCUGCCCUGCACUUCGGGAUAAGCCUGGGAAACUGGGUCUAAUACCGGAUAUGAACUCCUGCCGCAUGGUGGGGGUUGGAAAGUUUUUCGGUGCAGGAUGAGCCCGCGGCCUAUCAGCUUGUUGGUGGGGUAAUGGCCUACCAAGGCGACGACGGGUAGCCGGCCUGAGAGGGUGAUCGGCCACACUGGGACUGAGACACGGCCCAGACUCCUACGGGAGGCAGCAGUGGGGAAUAUUGCACAAUGGGCGAAAGCCUGAUGCAGCGACGCCGCGUGGGGGAUGACGGUCUUCGGAUUGUAAACCCCUUUCAGUAGGGACGAAGCGCAAGUGACGGUACCUGCAGAAGAAGCACCGGCUAACUACGUGCCAGCAGCCGCGGUAAUACGUAGGGUGCGAGCGUUGUCCGGAAUUACUGGGCGUAAAGAGCUCGUAGGCGGUUUGUCACGUCGUCUGUGAAAUCCCUCGGCUUAACCGGGGGCGUGCAGGCGAUACGGGCAGACUUGAGUACUACAGGGGAGACUGGAAUUCCUGGUGUAGCGGUGAAAUGCGCAGAUAUCAGGAGGAACACCGGUGGCGAAGGCGGGUCUCUGGGUAGUAACUGACGCUGAGGAGCGAAAGCAUGGGUAGCGAACAGGAUUAGAUACCCUGGUAGUCCAUGCCGUAAACGGUGGGCGCUAGGUGUGGGGUCCUUCCACGGACUCCGUGCCGUAGCU
This 759-nucleotide ribosomal RNA is filed under the name unidentified microorganism. RNAcentral's name for it is "bacterial SSU rRNA". It matches the Rfam family "Bacterial small subunit ribosomal RNA", at positions 79 to 853 of the family's 1533-position model. The record is from RNAcentral.